AUUGAACGCUGGCGGCAUGCUUUACACAUGCAAGUCGAACGGCAGCACGGGUGCUUGCACCUGGUGGCGAGUGGCGGACGGGUGAGUAAUACAUCGGAACGUAUCCUAAAGUGGGGGAUAACGCAUCGAAAGAUGUGCUAAUACCGCAUACACUCUGAGGAGGAAAGUAGGGGAUCGAAAGACCUUAUGCUUUUGGAGCGGCCGAUGUCUGAUUAGCUAGUUGGUAAGGUAAUGGCUUACCAAGGCAACGAUCAGUAGUUGGUCUGAGAGGACGACCAGCCACACUGGGACUGAGACACGGCCCAGACUCCUACGGGAGGCAGCAGUGGGGAAUUUUGGACAAUGGGCGCAAGCCUGAUCCAGCAAUGCCGCGUGAGUGAAGAAGGCCUUCGGGUUGUAAGCUCUUUCAGUUGAGAAGAAAGAUUAGUGACUAAUAAUUAG
This 441-nucleotide ribosomal RNA is filed under the name uncultured bacterium. Its description in RNAcentral is "bacterial SSU rRNA". It matches the Rfam family "Bacterial small subunit ribosomal RNA", at positions 30 to 471 of the family's 1533-position model. The record is from RNAcentral.